Molecule: non-coding RNA, 1462 nt
Organism: Triticum urartu
Lineage: Eukaryota; Viridiplantae; Streptophyta; Magnoliopsida; Poales; Poaceae
Source: RefSeq, a predicted model, not a curated record
CCCAUGCCACUCGCAAACGUCGAGGGACGUGUUGCUCCAUGAAGCUAAAACUCCUGCUGGACCCGAGAGCCAGGACUUGAAACAAAGGAGGGAUUGUCUAUCAUUUUCGGUUUCACCGCAGGUGGCUAAUGUCAGGCAGCAAAAGAAGGCAAAAAGGCAUAGAAACCAAACAAAACCUGGAAACAAGACACCCGAAGACGCCAUUGUUAUUGUUUGCAGGAGUAUGUGGAUGAAAGCUCUGAUUUGUAAGAGGAUGUUUAAGCACUCAACUAUGGAGAGGGAUAGUAGCUAAGCCCUCUAGACAGCAACUUCACGGUCAACGAUCGAUACGACAGGGACAGCCCGGCAGGACGAUGCCUCCAACCUCUGCUUACAUUGCAAUUGUCCCAGCCACCCUCCAACAGCAGCUUGAGGUACAGUGUGGACGCACGCUUUCUCUUGAUGAAUAAUGAACAUGUAGCUCUUGAAGUCGUCGCGCACGCCGCCCGGGAAUAUACCUCGGCGAGAUUUGGCAUUCCUGAUAUCGGAAUGCAUGAACACCCAUACAGGCAACUUAGUCAGAACGGCAUGGUAGCUGGCUGAAGUAUGAACGCACAUCUUCCCCUUUUUCUGUCAUUUACUUUCCUACCUUUGAUGGUCAUGCAUUAGUUAAUGGAGGAAUCAUUGGGAGAGGUAGCUCUAGGCGCCUCGUUGACCUACAACAUUUCUGAUUUCCAAAUGCAUAAAACCCCCUGCAAGCGGCUGGUUCGAAGGCAGCCAUAUCACAGAUCGACUUCAUUUCGACGCAACCACUACAGACUCUGUCUCGGUCUCCAUUCCUUUGCCUGGCUAACGGGGAUGGGGAUGGCACUUGCUCCACGCUCGUCUCUGUCUCUGCGCUCCCUGCUGCUGCUCAUGUCGCACAGGAAGCCACAUCGGAGCUCUUUCUUCUCCUCCUCCGCCGCCGUUCCGCCUGCGGCUCCAGGAACUGCCACUCCGGCUGCUGAUCCUGCCGUUCAGCCUCCAGCCGCUCCAGAUCCUGAUCUUGCAGUUCCUAAAGGUCCGCGCGAAUCUACCCGCGAUGGUCCGCCACGCCAACCUCCUGGAACUAUGGAUAUAGACGCUAAAGACCCCGGCAAGAAGACUCUCUAACAGCUAAUAAUACAAAGUCAGUGGGAGCCUUUCCCACAUUCCUCAAGGUUCAAAAAAGAAAAAGAAAAAAAAGACACCGGCAAGUCAUCAGAGUUCGCCUACGGCACUUCAACGUGUACUCCUUGAUCAGCCACCCACCGUACGAACUGCAGAAGCCCUCCUCUUCCGGAAGAAUAUUGAAUUAUUGCCAACUGUUCAGGUGCUACGAGCAAAUGCUUGCUGCGGUUACUGCCGUGUUACCUCUGUGGACAUGUAAUCUCAGCGCUGUCAUAUUAUUGAUCUUUGUACCGUUCCAAUCCACUUCAACAAAUAAAGGUGUGCGUUAGAUUUU